ACGUAUGGUGCGAACGUUGUUCGGAAUCACUGGGCAUAAAGAGCACGUAGGCGGCCGAGCAAGUCUGUUGUGAAAUCCCCCGGCUUAACCGGGGAACUGCAGUAGAUACUACUCGGCUUGAGUGCAGGAGGGGAGAGUGGAAUUCCAGGUGGAGCGGUGAAAUGCGUAGAUAUCUGGAGGAACGCCGGCGGCGAAAGCGACUCUCUGGUCUGCAACUGACGCUGAGGUGCGAAAGCUAGGGGAGCAAACGGGA
This 253-nucleotide ribosomal RNA is filed under the name uncultured prokaryote. RNAcentral's name for it is "partial 16S ribosomal RNA". It matches the Rfam family "Bacterial small subunit ribosomal RNA", at positions 525 to 777 of the family's 1533-position model. The record is from RNAcentral.